GAUGAACGCUAGCGGCAGGCUUAAUACAUGCAAGUCGAGGGGUAACAUGGGUAGCAAUACCUGAUGACGACCGGCAAACGGGUGCGGAACACGUACGCAACCUUCCCAUAACUGGUGAAUAGCCUUCCGAAAGGGAGAUUAAUACACCGUAACAUAACGAGUAGGCAUCUGCUUGUUAUUAUAGGCUUCGGCCGGUUUUGGAUGGGCGUGCGCCUGAUUAGGUAGUUGGCGGGGUAACGGCCCACCAAGCCUGCGAUCAGUAACUGGUGUGAGAGCACGACCAGUCACACGGGCGACUGAGACACGGGCCCGGA
RNAcentral lists this ribosomal RNA (314 nucleotides) under uncultured bacterium. Its description in RNAcentral is "bacterial SSU rRNA". It matches the Rfam family "Bacterial small subunit ribosomal RNA", at positions 28 to 336 of the family's 1533-position model. The record is from RNAcentral.